UCUGAGCGCAGAACUCAAAGCAGUUCCUUAGCUUCUUCCUUUUGUUUCUCUAAUUGUCUUAAAAUUCCUCUCGUUCCCUUAUUCCUAUAAACUAGAAAUUCAUAGUUCUAUCGACUAGAAAUUUUGGGUCAAGUGGUAUCAGAGCACCAGAUCCGAGAGGGUGACGGUGGUUUAUGGUCUCAACUCGCAACCAACGCAAAGCUUCUGGAGAAGAACUUUAGGUCCUUUGCUCGUUAUGACACGAGAAAACAAACAGGAUACAUCUAGUGAUGGUGAUCGCAUCACUAAACUUGAGCAACAAGUAGAAAACUUGUCCGCACCAAUCCUUAAACUCAUGGAGAGUUUGAAGACUAGAAAAUCUUCACGUUUAUCAACUUCAUACGAGCCUGAUCAAAGGCUCAAGAAAAAGGUUGUUGAGGAUAGCGAAGAUGAAGACGACACACAAGCUGAUCCAACGAAAAAAUGAAGCUAAAUCAGGUGACAAUAAAAAUUCUAUUGAUACCUUAAAGAUUGAUUUUAAGGUUGACAUCCCUAUAUAUAAAGGAGAUGUUGAUCCUGAAAAGCUAGAUAACUGGAUAGACACAUUAGAAACUUAUUUCACAGUUUAUAGUUAUUCUAAUGGGCAAAAAAUAAAAUUUGCGAGUUUGAAACUUUCAAGCCAUGCCCUUACAUGGUGGAAGUCCUAUUAGAGACGGUAUGAUGUCACAGAAUUGACUUGGAAGAACUUCAAAAAGCUUUUGAGAAAAAAAUUUUAUCCUGUUGGCUAUGAAGAUGAAAGAUGGUAUAAGUGGCAACACUUCAGACAAAGAUUUGGGCAGCCUGUACAAGAGUAUACAACAAAGUUCCACAACCAAGCUAUGGUUCUGGACAUUAACAUCGAUGACUGUGACGUUUUCAUGAAGUAUACCAAAGGUCAUGCCUACUACAUACGGAAAGAACUAAAAUUGUUCACCAUAGAUACUAUUGAAGAAGCUACUGUGAAGGCCAUUGCCAUUGAGGCAAAAAAAUGAAAGAACUGACAAGAAGGAUGACAGAUCAAAACCUGUCAACAAAACUAACUGGCAAAAAAAGGGGAAGCAGAGCAAGGAAGGUCCGACACAGAAGGUCUACUGUGAUCACUGUCAAACCAACAGACAUGCCAACGACAAGUGUUGGAUACUCCAUCCUGAGUUGCG
This 1175-nucleotide long non-coding RNA is filed under the name Prunus dulcis (almond). RNAcentral's name for it is "sRNA ncRNA". The record is from RNAcentral. Lineage: Eukaryota; Viridiplantae; Streptophyta; Magnoliopsida; Rosales; Rosaceae.